This is a long non-coding RNA of Tupaia belangeri chinensis (Chinese tree shrew), 166 nucleotides long. RefSeq lists it as uncharacterized. The record is from RefSeq and is a predicted model, not a curated record. Lineage: Eukaryota; Metazoa; Chordata; Mammalia; Scandentia; Tupaiidae. The transcript has 2 exons.
CGGCCUCAUCCUUUAAGUAAACGUCCUGCGAAAGUCUCGGUCUUUCCGCGGCGACUACAGCGCUCUAUAGAUCCCGCUUGGCUGAAGACGUCUGAUCUCUGCCAGAAGUGUGUCCUCGCCCCUAACCCCUACGCCUUCUCACCCCCAAUAAAAUGGUUUGACUUUA